Molecule: ribosomal RNA, 50 nt
Filed under: Cytospora sp. 42 NA1
Lineage: Eukaryota; Fungi; Ascomycota; Sordariomycetes; Diaporthales; Cytosporaceae
Also listed under: 1 other name
Description: partial 28S ribosomal RNA
Source: RNAcentral
UUGACCUCGGAUCAGGUAGGAAUACCCGCUGAACUUAAGCAUAUCAAAAG